UAAUAAUUGCGACCAUGUGGUGCUUCUUAAUAUAAGUUAAAAGGGAAUGUGGUGAAAAUCCACAGCAGCCCCCGUUACUGUCAAUGGAAUGAAAAUUGCGGAAGUGUCAUUGUAUCUUCUUUAGCGUUAAGGAUACGGCUCCUAGCCUUAAAAAGCGAAGAAUGAUAUGAGAAGACAGCAAUGAGUAAAAUGACCAUGAGCCAGGAAACCUGCCAUAUGAGAAUGAAUCAU
This 231-nucleotide non-coding RNA is filed under the name Lachnoclostridium phytofermentans. The record is from RNAcentral. RNAcentral also lists the same sequence under 1 other name. Lineage: Bacteria; Bacillati; Bacillota; Clostridia; Lachnospirales; Lachnospiraceae.